AGAGUUUGAUCAUGGCUCAGGAUGAACGCUAGCGGCAGGCCUAAUACAUGCAAGUCGAACGGGAGUAGCAAUACUCUAGUGGCGCACGGGUGCGUAACGCGUAUGCAACCUACCUUUCAGUGGGGGAUAGCCCGGGGAAACCCGGAUUAAUACCGCAUAAGAUAAUUGGAUGGCAUCAUUUAAUUAUGAAACAUUUAUGGCUGAAAAGAUGGGCAUGCGUUAGAUUAGCUAGUUGGUGAGGUAGAAGCUCACCCAAGGCGAUGAUCUAUAGGGGUUCUGAGAGGAAGAUCCCCCCACACUGGUACUGAGAUACGGNNCCAGACUCCUACGGGAGGCAGCAGUAGGGAAUAUUGGGCAAUGGAGGCAACUCUGACCCAGCCAUGCCGCGUGCAGGAAGAAGGCCUUCUGGGUUGUAAACUGCUUUUGGAAGGGAACAAAAUGGGCAUGCGUGCCAACUUGAGUGUACCUUCAGAAUAAGCACCGGCUAACUCCGUGCCAGCAGCCGCGGUAAUACGGAGGGUGCAAGCGUUGUCCGGAUUUAUUGGGUUUAAAGGGUGCGUAGGCGGCUUAUUAAGUCAGGGGUGAAAGACUGCAGCUCAACUGUAGCAGUGCCUUUGAUACUGAUGAGCUUGAGUACAGAUGAGGCAGGCGGAAUGGGUGGUGUAGCGGUGAAAUGCAUAGAUACCAUCCAGAACACCGAUUGCGAAGGCAGCCUGCUAAACUGUAACUGACGCUGAGGCACGAAAGCGUGGGGAUCGAACAGGAUUAGAUACCCUAGUAGUCC
RNAcentral lists this ribosomal RNA (784 nucleotides) under uncultured bacterium. Its description in RNAcentral is "bacterial SSU rRNA". It matches the Rfam family "Bacterial small subunit ribosomal RNA", at positions 8 to 796 of the family's 1533-position model. The record is from RNAcentral.